Molecule: long non-coding RNA, 2466 nt
Filed under: Equus caballus (horse)
Lineage: Eukaryota; Metazoa; Chordata; Mammalia; Perissodactyla; Equidae
Description: lncRNA (ENSECAG00000048313.1)
Source: RNAcentral
AAAGGAAAACAUUGAACCGUGUGGAGCUGGGAGAAGUUGUCACAAGUUAAUUCAUGAGACAAAACUUUAAGACCACUGAAAAUACCAAAAACUUCCUACACUCUAUGAUGCUGCUGUAAGAAGCAAAUGAAUCAAGUGAAGAAAUCAAGCGUAGAAGCCUUCAGGUGUCACAGAAAUGGGUCCCGAUCGGGCCUCAAACCCUAAGACAUCAGAGCAUGAGACACCUGUGACGGAAAGUGGUUGUUUCAUGGAUUAAGCGCCUACGAGUAAAACCAACCUGCGAAUCCUGCAGAAUGUGCCUCGUUGCUGAGUCAUGCUGAAGUAUUACAGCUAAUAAAUGAAGAAGUAAUGGCAGAAUCAUCAUCACCAUCUUGCGACUUCCAAUGGAUUAAUGGAUCUAGGGAUUGAUCAUCAAUAGCUGCUAGUAUCACAAAGAGAGAAAACAGAUAUCACGUGUGCUUCCUGAUAGAAGAAUAGAGCAUCUAUAAAGCAGACCUACCAAAAAAGUAAAAAUAAGAUCUGAAGCUGAUCAAACCCAAGACCCAACUACCAAUUUACAGGAAAAACAGAAGACAAAGAUACAUGUACAAUAACACCACUGGGAUGCAGUCAGAAAACUGUAGACUGCUGGAAACUCCCCAUGGCUAACAACUCACUUCCUUCAAGAGAAGAAACAGAGAGAAAGAGAGACAAUGAGAGGUGGAGGGAGCAUCUAUAGGUGAACAGAAACAUAAUGAGUCAUACAGUCAGUCAAAUGUGUGGACCUUAUUUGGAUUCUGAAUCAAAUAAGGAAACAAAAAAAAUUAUGACGUUUAUGAGACAAUUUAAAAUUUGAAUACUGACUAGAUAUUUGAUAAUAUUAAGGACUUACUGCUAUUUUUUAGAUGUGAAAUGGUACUGUAGAGAUUCAUACAAAACUGUUUAUGGAAGAAAUUGUAUGGUGUCUGGAAUUUGCUUCAAAAUAGUGCAGAUGGGGUGGAGGAAGUGAGUUGGGGUAUAUAUAAAACAGUAUUGGCCAUGAGUUCAUAAACGUCGAAACUGAUUGAUAGGUACCUUUUUAUAUGCCUGAAAUCUUGUACAUGCUGUCUAUCUUUGUACAUGCUUUGAAUUUCCCAUAAUACAAAGUUAGAAAAUAACACCUACUAUGUACUAGGAACUAGGCUGGCAUUGACACACCUAAGCCAUGAAUUGGCAUGACAGAAAAACACAGUCAGAACUUUUCCUUCAUGACUUGCACAUAUGGGAAGGGAGAAGAAUUUGGUGGCAGCGCCCUUAACUCUCCCCUUACUUGAUGAGAUGAAUAUGCAGUUUCCUUUGCCAAAGUGGAAAUUGAGAGCAGAAUGCAACCCUGUCUAAACUGCUCCUCCGCGGAGCUUGUUGAAGGCCGGAACCAUUACUCAGGGUCCAGCUGCACAGCAUUCUCAUCCACCCAGAAACACAUGCAGAUAUGUGGGAGAUCAAAAUACGUCCACAUGUGGGUUUUAACAAAGAACAACCAGACAAAAGCCCCACAGAUGCAUCUGACCUCUCCCUUGGCCUCUGAUCCUUCCAUGGAAAUGUGAACUUUCCUUUGACACUCAUAGGACACCCUUUGGCCAUUAACAACAGUCCUAUGGAGAGUGGGCAGUGCCCUUUGGCUGCAUCAGGGGCAGGGGCCCAACGCUCUAAAUUGCUGGCAUUCACACCACAGUCUUCUCUCAUUACUGGGCCCCACCCUAUGUGGAGUUUAGCUGCAUGGUCCUUGAGGGUAAAAACAUAAAUUCAGCUGGGACAUUCCCCUGGUCAGAGUGGUGACCGUUAUUGUACAUGCCUGGGAUGUUUUCCCAAGGAAUCUGAGAAAAAAUGGCUUCAUCGGAGAGAGACACAUGGUAUCACAGAAGUGCCUGAAAGAGGGCUGGGCCGGGCAGAGGUCUCCUUGGUCUUGUCCUUGACUUGCAUUUGGCAUGCAGUGAGGGAGCACUCCUGUCAGGAUCCAUAUGGCUGUCUAUUCAUUCAAGUACUUACUGAGCCUGAACAUUAGAAACUCUGGAAGAUGUAAGGAAAAAAAAGACAGAAGAGCUGUCAAACAACUUCAAUUCAGGCCAGGGUGUGAUCAGACUGUGACCGAGGAGUUCAGAGCAGAGAGACAAUUUCCAACUGCAUUGGUGAAGUUGGAGGAGGUAAACUGGGAAGCAGACCUUAAAAGACAAUAAAAUUUCAAUUUCAAUAGUCAAGAGUCUGGAGGAGGAGGGUGGCACAGGUGCGCAAUGCAAGGAAAACAGAGAAUUCCAGGUGGAGGGACUGUCUUGAACAAAGUUAUGCAAAUAAGAUUUGCUAAAAUCUCCUGCGGGUGUAAUGAGUUAAAACAAUUGGCGGAAGGGGACCUCCAUAAAUGUAAGGAGUUCUGCAAACCUCCAGAACCAAUACGGCCCGUGUCACUUCCUUUUGUUCUUCACUAGUCUUUCAGAAUGCAGGUUAUCUUCUCUG